Molecule: ribosomal RNA, 468 nt
Filed under: uncultured bacterium
Lineage: Bacteria
Description: partial 16S ribosomal RNA
Rfam family: Bacterial small subunit ribosomal RNA
Source: RNAcentral
GACGAACGCUGGCGGCGUGCCUAACACAUGCAAGUCGAACGGAAAGGCGCUGCUUUUGUGGGGUGCUCGAGUGGCGAACGGGUGAGUAACACGCGAGUAACCUGCCCUUGACUGUGGGAUAACUUCAGGAAACUGGGGCUAAUACCGGGUAGGAGCUCCUGCUGCAUGGUGGUGGUUGGAAAGUUUCGGCGGUUGGGGAUGGACUCGCGGCUUAUCAGCUUGUUGGUGGGGUAGGGGCUUACCAAGGCUUUGACGGGUAGGCGGCCUGAGAGGGUGACCGGCCACAUUGGGACUGAGAUACGGACCAGACUGCUACGGGAGGCAGCAGUGGGGAAUAUUGCACAAUGGGCGGAAGCCUGAUGCAGCAACGCCGCGUGCGGGAUGACGGCCUUCGGGUUGUAAACCGCUUUCGCCUGUGACGAAGCGUGAGUGACGGUAAUGGGUAAAGAAGCAACGGCUAACUACGUG